AACGAACGCUGGCGGCAUGCCUAACACAUGCAAGUCGAACGAGACCAUCGUGUCUGGUUGCGCACGCGUGCGUAACGCGGGGGAACCUGCCGGUAUGUUCGGAAUAACUCUCUUUCGGGGGUGCUAAUACCGGGUAAUUUCUGCUGACAAAAGAUAUAUCGACCUUGGAUGGGCCCGCGUUGGAUGAGCUUGCUGGUAGUGUAAAAGCCUACCACGGCUUCGAUCGAUAGCUGGUAUGAGAGGAUGAUCAGCGACUCUGGGAGUGAGACACGGCCGAGAAUACUACGGGAAGCAGCAGUGGGGAAUAUUGGCAAAUCGGGGAAAGCAUGAUCCAGCACUGCCGGGUGAGUGCUGAAGUCCUUAGGGUAGUAAAGCUGUUUUAUCCGGGAUGAUAAUGACAGUACCGGGAGAAUAAGCUCCGGCUAACUCCGUG
Molecule: ribosomal RNA, 433 nt
Filed under: uncultured bacterium
Lineage: Bacteria
Description: partial 16S ribosomal RNA
Rfam family: Bacterial small subunit ribosomal RNA
Source: RNAcentral